RNAcentral lists this long non-coding RNA (200 nucleotides) under Setaria viridis. RNAcentral describes it as "long non-coding RNA (SVIR_LNC006169)". Lineage: Eukaryota; Viridiplantae; Streptophyta; Magnoliopsida; Poales; Poaceae. The record is from RNAcentral.
CUAUUCCACUCCAUUUAGAUCUAAGAAAGAACCCAAUACAAUGAAAUUCCACUAGUAUAAAAAAGAUAAAUAGAUACAAACACAAGGUCUCAAACCUUGUUAUAGAAUUUAUGUUUCAAAGAAAAGAAAUAUCAUAUAUAUUCAGCGAAUGAAAUAGAGUCGGCGAAUGAAGCGGAUUCAUUAACAACUCAAUUUACAGA